UGAAAUUCCUCUCUCCCUCUGUAAUCUUCUCUUCUCCCACUUCUUCCAGUUCCUAAUACCUAUGUGACUUGCUCUUUAGCCUCAUGAAAGCUUCAAGUCAGCAGCCUCCUCUUCACCUGGAAUUCCAUUGCUCCUUUUUCCGGAAGCGGCAGGCACUUUGGCAACUGCACCACCUCCUCAACUCCUACUGUCAUCAUAGUACCUUCAUCCAGUAACUGAUGGAAGCAAAUGCAAAGAUCCUCAUCCAAGCACCAGGCUAAGCUACAGCUGUCCAGUCGAAGAGAAAGAAGGAUUAUAUGAGCAAAGAGGGUCAAGAUCAUGAUGGGGAAACUCACAGAGACAGUGGACCUGAACUUGCUGGAGCUCACGGACUCAUUGAACUAUAUACUGAAUGCAGAGACUGAUUUGUGGAAAGUUGGUGUCAUGAUAUUAUUGAAUCAUGUGAAUAACGUGAGCAUCAUGUGGCUGGGCCCAAUCCCAGGAUGCAUUAUUUAGAUUCUAUCCCUGAUGACAUCCAAUAAACCAAUCUUAAGGAAAGG
This 539-nucleotide long non-coding RNA is filed under the name Cricetulus griseus (Chinese hamster). RNAcentral's name for it is "lncRNA (ENSCGRG00015040457.1)". The record is from RNAcentral. Lineage: Eukaryota; Metazoa; Chordata; Mammalia; Rodentia; Cricetidae.